GGAGACGUGGCCGAGUGGUCGAAGGCGCUCCCCUGCUAAGGGAGUAAACGGGAGACCGUUUCGAGGGUUCGAAUCCCUUCGUCUCCGCCA
Molecule: transfer RNA, 90 nt
Filed under: Phaeobacter gallaeciensis
Lineage: Bacteria; Pseudomonadati; Pseudomonadota; Alphaproteobacteria; Rhodobacterales; Roseobacteraceae
Also listed under: 9 other names
Description: tRNA-Ser
Rfam family: tRNA
About the family: Transfer RNA (tRNA) molecules are approximately 80 nucleotides in length.
Source: RNAcentral